AUGAACGCUAGCGACAGGCCUAACACAUGCAAGUCGAGGGCAGCACAAGGAGCAAUCUGAGGUGGCGACCGGCGCACGGGUGAGUAACACGUAUGCAACCUGCCUGUAAGCGGGGAAUAACCCGUUGAAAGACGGACUAAUACCGCAUAAUACUAAAUUACUGCAUGGUAAUUUAUUUAAACAUUUAUGGCUUACAGAUGGGCAUGCGCAUGAUUAGCUAGUUGGAGAGGUAACGGCUCCCCAAGGCAACGAUCAUUAGGGGUUCUGAGAGGAAGGUCCCCCACACUGGUACUGAGACACGGACCAGACUCCUACGGGAGGCAGCAGUGAGGAAUAUUGGUCAAUGGACGAGAGUCUGAACCAGCCAAGUCGCGUGCAGGAAGAAUGUCCUUAAUGGAUUGUAAACUGCUUUUGCAGGGGAAUAAAGUGCAUCACGUGUGAUGUUUUGUAUGUACUCUGCGAAUAAGGAUCGGCUAACUACGUGCCAGCAGCCGC
RNAcentral lists this ribosomal RNA (495 nucleotides) under uncultured bacterium. RNAcentral's name for it is "bacterial SSU rRNA". It matches the Rfam family "Bacterial small subunit ribosomal RNA", at positions 29 to 518 of the family's 1533-position model. The record is from RNAcentral.